CCUGAAGCUAAAAUGGCGCCGGGGCCACGCGGGAAGGAAAAGCGCCGAGGGAGAGCGGACUGUGUCAACAUGUCCCGUUCCCGAGGUUCCUGUUGCUGGGGUUUUCCUCACCCUCAGAGUCAAUAAAAUGGAGGAUCCACUUGGGAAUCGUCUUGUUCCAGAGUGUGUGUUUUGUGUCGACGUACAGGACUGUACUUUCAAUGGUACUUACAAAGAUAAGCCUUAAACAAUGCCAGCGGGAAUUACAACUUUAGCUCAGACAGGAGAGAGCUGGCCAUUGAGUCCUUCCAGUCCCAGCACCAAGGCAGAUACCAGUGCGUCGCAAUCAACAGGGGUUGGAACGAUAUUUAAUGUGACCAGGAAUUCCAUCAACCUCACAGAGCCAGCACAGGCACGCAGCACUGAGAUGGCAGUACUCAUUGUCCCACUGUUUCUGAUCCUUUCUCUCCUCACAUUGCUUCCCAUUAAACUCGGGGAUUGGAAACAAGGUGAGUGAGACACUCCAGCAGGUAAUCCCGGUGAUCGUUCUCCAGUUGGCACUCGAUGUACAUUUCAAACUGAUGUUGCUCACAUAGUGUGCGUAUGAGAGAGUAUGUGUGUGAGUACGUUUGAGUGAGAGUAUGAAAGUGUACAUGUCUGUGUGUGAGAGAGAGAGAGAGACACAUUUUCAUUGACACUUACGCAUAGUUUCACGUGCGCAAACACACACUGCUCAGUCAUGUCUGCAGUGCACAUUGUAGACCACACUUGAGAAUCCGAACACCAUCCAGAGACAAAGCAGCCCCUGCUUGGUUGGCACCACAUCCACCACCCGUGUUCAGUAGCAGCUACGAGAUGCCCUGCAGAAAU
Molecule: non-coding RNA, 849 nt
Organism: Chiloscyllium plagiosum (whitespotted bambooshark)
Lineage: Eukaryota; Metazoa; Chordata; Chondrichthyes; Orectolobiformes; Hemiscylliidae
Source: RefSeq, a predicted model, not a curated record